GAAACGCGAUAGGUAUUGUGAAUUGCAGAAUCAGGGAAUCAUCGAAUUUUUGAACGCACCUUGCGCUCCCUGGUAUUCCUAGGAGCAUGCCUGUUUGAGUGUUGAUAGCCUCUCCAAACCUUGGUUUUUUAUUAAAUCAAGUGCUUUGGGUCCCUGGGCCUGUAGCGGCGACGUUACUUGCCUUAAAAGGAUCAAAGAAGACCCAAUCGGAUGUUAAGCAUGAUAUCCUUUGCGUUCUUUGAACGACUAUAAACUAUAUAUACAACCUCAAAUCAGGUAGGACUACCCGCUGAACUUAA
Molecule: unclassified non-coding RNA, 299 nt
Filed under: uncultured Exobasidiomycetidae
Lineage: Eukaryota; Fungi; Basidiomycota; Exobasidiomycetes
Description: sequence contains ITS1
Rfam family: 5.8S ribosomal RNA (bases 1-104)
Source: RNAcentral